AUGCCGGCAGGCCUGCGGACAAGGACGGAGUCAGCCUCUUCCGGGGGUCUCACGGCACAACGCUGGAGCCCCUUGCAGGAAGCAGGACGCUCCAGUGGUGACGCUGCCGGGGAGCCCUGGCAGCACCUGGACCCUGGGCUGCCGCAGCGGCUGCUGGAGGAGAAGGAGCGGGUGCUGGCAGUCCUGCGGGAGACCGUCAAGGUUCUGCAGAUGAAGGUGGCCAGGCUGGAGCACCCGGUGAAACUAAAGGACCAGCGGGUCAGAGCGCUCACGCGACAGGGGGACCAGCCCCAGGGAGGGGGCACCCGGGGCCAGAAGGGCCCCCUCCCCUGUCCACCAGACUCCGACCUCGAGCCCACUUGGAAAUCCCCUAGACUGGGUGUUUCUGGGUGUGGCAACGCACUGUCCAUCAGACGUGGAGCAACCGAGGAGGACCCGAGCCAGCGUGUCCACAAGCAGAAGCCUGGCCCCUCCUGACUGCACAUCCCGGGUGCCCAGCCGAUGUGGCCUGAGGUUCCCCUGCUGCCCCCCACCCCCCCGCCUCCUCCCCACCAAGAAGACCAGUUUGGACAUGAAGAUGGGUCUGGUUCCCUGGAGCCCCUGAGCGUCCUAGCGUCACUGUGAACGUGGAGCAUCUGCAGGCAGUUGUGUGCUGAGGGCGGUGGGGUGGGGGCAGCGUCUCGAGUCAGCCAACCUGCUGUCCCGGGGGCCCCGUGGAAACAGCUCGCGGGAGGUUGUGCUCCCUGAAGGGUGCCUGUGGGGACCUCACAGUGGUCACCCGACAUGGCCAGUCACCCCUCCUUGCUCUGGAGGUUUUGGGGGUCAGAGCAGUGCCAGGACGGGCUCCCCCCAGUGUAUGUGGGGCCCUGGCCCUGGGUGGGGCCAUCAGGGUGGGGGCCAGGGAGUCCUGAGAUGCCGAGGUUGGGGGCAAGGGGCUGUGUCCUAUCUGUCCUGUGUCCUGGCACUUGCACCUUCCUGCUCCAGCAUCCAGGGUACUCCCUCCCCACCCCGCCCCCAACAACUGACUCACUGUCCCCCCUUCCCCGUAUACACUCACACGCCCCGGGGCCCCUGCAGGGUUUCAGGAAGCAGCGUCAGAGCAGAAACCUCCAUCGGUUUCAGAGCUGCUCUGAGUCAGCCCACGUCCUCCCUGAGUCAGACGUGCAGCCCUGACCCCACAGCACAGAUCUGGCCCCCAGGCUUGGAGGGACCCGGGGUUUGAGGCGGAGGGUCUGCUUCCCCAGGAGGGGCCGUGGAGGCUGGUUAGGGGGGUCGCCCAGGAGGGGCCAUCUCUCAGAUUUCUCCUGGGCACAACCUCGCCCCUGGAGAGAAGCCCAGGAUGUGUCUGGGGGCAGGUCCAGGCUGCCCGCUGUGGGAUCCAGGCUGCAAGCAGCCCCCGCCGCUCCAGCAUCAGGAGCCACAGAGGGAGAUGGGCUCCACAGCCCAGAGCUCGAAGUGUCUCGGGUCCAGGGGCUGGAGCGGGCUCAACAGGGCACAAGGCCGGGGGGCCUGUGGAGGACCAUGCCCCCCACCCUGCCAGCUGAAGGCUCCGUGCCACCCGCAGGGACAGGAACGCAGAGGAGCAGCCAGGGUGGGGGUCAGGCACAGGGCACACUGAUUCAGCCUGGCCGGUGGCCAGGUGGCUGUGUGCUGGACGGUGGGUUAUGGGCAGAGCUGGCCAGGCCUGGGCCCUGGGGAGACGCAGAGGCAGGCUGUCCCUGGAAGAACAUGAGGUGAGGCUGCUCUGUGGCCACCCGCUGACCCGAGCUGCCUGUGCCAUCCGCUCACUGCUGCUGGCCAGGGGCAGCUGUCUGCUGUUAGAGGCCUGGUGAACUCACUGUGAGCUCACCCCAGCUUUCCCCUUGAACGGUGGGUGCAGAGACAGCCCCUGGGGGUUAAUGAUGUUGAAGUCAGGCUGCCCUGCCCCUCCCGCAACCAGGACGCAGACACCAGGGCCUGUUAGGUGUCUGCCUCCACGGGUGUGGGUGGACACCCGGCGCCCGGCGAGUCAUCUGGCAGAUCUUUUUGCACCCGUUAUUUCAUGAUUUUAAAACAUUUUUAGGGGAGACCCUUGGAGGUGCAGAGGUGUGAAUGAUAGCCUGCAGGCCCACAGGGACGCCCCCUGCCCAGGGUGGGCAGAGGCAGCCUGCCCCUGGGCCUCCCCAGUCUCCUCCGCGAAACGCGGCCGCCGCUGCCGUAGAGGUGCUGAGGAGGCCACGCCCUCACUACCCCUGAGGCCCCCAGGCUGGUCCAAGGACGGCCCCGUGUGGCCAGGGCAGGAAUCACGCCCUCCUGAGUGAGUGAACUCCGCGAGUUGGUGAUGGACAGGGAGGCCUGGCGUGCUGCGAUUCACGGGGUGGCAAAGAGUCGGACACGACUGAGCGACUGAACUGACCCUCCUUAAAAAUGGCAAGAGGCUGUGAUGCGGGGCUGGAGCCCUGGUGACCUUCCUGCCGCAGAGGACUGGAGGGCUCUAUGCUAAUUCCCGUGUCAGCCAGAAGCCCUCCAGGCCUCCACCCACCUGAACGCAGGUGAGCGGUGUGGACUGCACCACGGAGCCCACAGUGUAGACAGAAACGCCAGUGGCCUCCAGGCCUGUGGGAGCUCCUGGCCUCCCCCCGCUGCCCCCAUGAUGCCCUCCCCAGCUUGGCACGUCUGUUUCCGUGAUUUCUGAAGCAACUGAUCCGGCCUUUCCUUCCCAGAUGGGUUUCGAGUGAGUGCCACCGACGCUGGGGAGAUGCUGGCCAUGGCGAGCUGGACGUGCUGCUGUGGACGCGGCUGGGGGCGGGGGGCGCCCACGGGGCUGCUACAGAGGAAGGUCCUCCCGACGGGGUGGGCGGUGCUGGGGCCGCGACCUUCCCGGAAGCCCCGCCCUGCCCACGUGGCACGCCGCAGUCCAGCUGGAAGGGGGGCCUGGGGCGAGGGACCGCGCCCCUGAAACAGCCGGGAGGUGGGAUGAGAACAGGCGGACGUGUGGGAGGAGGGCCCUUGGGAGCCCAGCAAGGCUGACUUCUGAGCAAAGGCGUGAAGAAAGCGAGAGGCUGCAGCUCAGAUGCGGCGCAGCGGGGCAGAGGCCCGGCACGGGCGGCGCACGAGGCGUCGGGGGUGGCGGGGUGCGAGGCUGAGGCUGCGAAGAUCGGGGCUGCAGCGCCUCUGAGGCGGCCCGAGCUCCUGGGCAUUGCUGAUGCCUCAACGGCUAGGGCUCCAGAAGGCAGGGGCGCGGGUGCUUGACCACAGGGCCAUAGAGCCAUCCUGGAGGGUGGGGUGGGGGUGGACCCCGGGCUUCCCGCUCCCGGGCUUCAAGGCUGAGAGCGAGCCAGGCCGCGUUUCUACUCCGCAAGGUGCAGCAGCGGGGCCUGAUGAUGUGGAUGUAUUGAGUGUUCUCUGACACGUGAGAAGCACCUUUCCAGAGGAAAAACACCCUAGCUGCACAAAAUGUGUGAGAAGUGAACUAGUGACAGCUUGCAUGAAACCAUUGCAAAUUGUAAGGUAAUUAUUCUCCAAAUAAAAAGUAUAUUGAAAAACUGACCUAGAGGUUC
This 3539-nucleotide long non-coding RNA is filed under the name Bos indicus x Bos taurus (hybrid cattle). Its description in RNAcentral is "lncRNA (ENSBIXG00005024971.1)". The record is from RNAcentral. Lineage: Eukaryota; Metazoa; Chordata; Mammalia; Artiodactyla; Bovidae.